RNAcentral lists this small RNA (573 nucleotides) under Pongo abelii (Sumatran orangutan). Its description in RNAcentral is "processed transcript". The record is from RNAcentral. Lineage: Eukaryota; Metazoa; Chordata; Mammalia; Primates; Hominidae.
UUGCUUUUACAAGUGGGAUGCUCAGGAGGUUUGAAUGAUUUAUGUUGGAUGGGGUAAUGACAGGUUUGCACUGUGACCCAGAGACAGGUGUCUGCAGUGAAAUUGAACACAAGAGGAUGUCGUUGGAGAUGACAGAGGCAAGGCAUUGAAAGGCUAUAAGGCUGUGGUGUGGGACAGGUCCCUGGGUGUUCAGUUGCCCAGGAUGAUGAAAGGGGUAGACUCAGGUGGAUAGAAAGACCCCAUGCCAUGACCUAGGGCUUUGCUGGGUUGCCGAUAUAGAAUCUGGCAGACAGAUUCAGCUGAUCAACCGAAAGUCUCUGCGAUCUCUCACUGCCCAGUUGCUGGUAUUGUUGAUGUCUUGGGAAGGAACUACCCAUCUUUCUGUUGAGGAGCUCAAGAGACAUUACGAAAGUACCCACAACACUCCCCUUAACCCCUGUGAAUAUGGAUUCAUGACCUUGACCGAACUGCUGAAGAGCCUGCCGUACUUGGUUGAGGUUUUCACUAAUGAUAAGAUGGAAGAAUGUGUGAAGCUCACAAGUCUGUAUUUGUUUGCGAAGAACGUGCGGUCUU